UAGAAUCGGGUCAUUGUGAUAUUUGUUCCCCUUUGUUCUGAUUCUGAUUUUUAUUCUGAACCUGACUUCGGUGAUUUUGAGGAGGAAUAGUCAGAGGAUGUUGAUGAUGACAUCCUGAGGGAGGGUCAUAUGCCGGUAGAUGGGGAGUUACCAUAUAGAAUUUCCCUUGACUUGGGGUAACACUGGAUGGAUGUGGGGCAGUAGCUCCUUC
RNAcentral lists this long non-coding RNA (211 nucleotides) under Lathyrus oleraceus (garden pea). RNAcentral's name for it is "Pisum sativum (pea) long non-coding RNA (PSAT_LNC019421)". The record is from RNAcentral. Lineage: Eukaryota; Viridiplantae; Streptophyta; Magnoliopsida; Fabales; Fabaceae.